Molecule: unclassified non-coding RNA, 307 nt
Filed under: Hevea brasiliensis (rubber tree)
Lineage: Eukaryota; Viridiplantae; Streptophyta; Magnoliopsida; Malpighiales; Euphorbiaceae
Source: RNAcentral
GCCGCCUCCGGAAUUGGGCUCUCAUGGUGUUCCAAUCUCUCCCUCCUCCCCUCCCCCUCAUCGUCGAAGCCCUCUCCUGCCCGCCGUGUCUCCUCGGUCACCAGAAAUGCGAUAUCGGUGGAGAAGAAGACCUUCACGCUUCAGAAAUCUGAAGAGAUCUUCACCGCUGCCAAGGAGCUGAUGCCAGGAGGAGUAAAUUCACCUGUUCGUGCCUUCAAAUCAGUUGGUGGACAGCCCAUUAUCUUUGAUUCUGUGAAGGGUUCUCACAUGUGGGAUGUUGAUGGCAAUGAGUACAUAGAUUAUGUUG